CUCAUUUUUGCAUGCGGCCCUCUAAAGAGGCCCGUAUCGGAAAAAUCGAUUUUUCCAUACAGGCCACUUAAGCAGCCGCAUGAGAAAAUGACUCUCGAUUUUUGCCGACGCCACUAGUUAUCGUCCGUUUGCAAAAAUCAUGGGGUCUCGUAUAGGAAAACCACUUUUGUAGUAGUGUAAGUUAGGAAAUGUAAAGAUACCAUGUGAGGUUAGGGCCAUGGGGUAGAAUGGGAUGAGUAGGAAAGGAAAUUUCCUGAAAUUAACUCUAAGCUGACCCCACAAAUAAAUUUGGCAGUAGAGGAAAUUAAGCACGAAAAAUAUGAGAAACUCGA
This 332-nucleotide long non-coding RNA is filed under the name Oryza brachyantha (malo sina). RNAcentral's name for it is "long non-coding RNA (OBRA_LNC001658)". The record is from RNAcentral. Lineage: Eukaryota; Viridiplantae; Streptophyta; Magnoliopsida; Poales; Poaceae.